GACGAACGCUGGCGGCGUGCUUAACACAUGCAAGUCGAGCGCUGAAGCUUCCUUCGGGGGGUGGAUGAGCGGCGAACGGGUGAGUAACACGUGGGUGACCUGCCCUCGGCUCUGGGAUAAGCCUGGGAAACUGGGUCUAAUACCGGAUAGGACUUUGCCUCGCAUGGGGUGGGGUGGAAAGCCAGUUACAUUGUUUCUGGCGGCUGGGGAUGGGCCCGCGGCCUAUCAGCUUGUUGGUGGGGUGAUGGCCUACCAAGGCGACGACGGGUAGCCGGCCUGAGAGGGCGACCGGCCACACUGGGACUGAGACACGGCCCAGACUCCUACGGGAGGCAGCAGUGGGGAAUCUUGCGCAAUGGGCGAAAGCCUGACGCAGCGACGCCGCGUGAGGGAUGACGGCCUUCGGGUUGUAAACCGUCUUUCUAGCUCCGACGAAGCGAAAGUGACGGUAGGAGCAGAAGAAGCACCGGCC
RNAcentral lists this ribosomal RNA (472 nucleotides) under uncultured bacterium. Its description in RNAcentral is "bacterial SSU rRNA". It matches the Rfam family "Bacterial small subunit ribosomal RNA", at positions 28 to 498 of the family's 1533-position model. The record is from RNAcentral.